RNAcentral lists this long non-coding RNA (7394 nucleotides) under Brassica napus (rape). RNAcentral describes it as "long non-coding RNA (BNAP_LNC017710)". Lineage: Eukaryota; Viridiplantae; Streptophyta; Magnoliopsida; Brassicales; Brassicaceae. The record is from RNAcentral.
CUGAACUGGAUCGGGCCGGUCGCGUCCUGAACCUCUGUUGGACCGGCUUGAUCUUGAAUCUUCAACUGGACCAUCUCCUCAAUCAGCAGCUGGUCCUGGUCAGUCUGUCCAUCUCGAUCAAGGAUUUGUUGGACAGCCUUGGUGAAACCCUCUCGCAAGGCCCUGGUUCCACUCCGGGUUGUCGGACCGCGUCUAACUACGGGAACCUCUACUUGGAUGGCCUCAUCAUUCCCUCCCCCUUGAAGAGGUUCUGGCCUCAGAACACCAUCAUCUGCAAAAUCAUCAAAGCUAUCUGCAUGGAAAGGAGACAAAUCCGAGACAUUGAAAGUAUGUGAAAAUUUAAAUUCAGCCGGGAGGUCAAGGAUAUAGGCAUUGUCGUUGAUCUUCUUUAGGAUGCGGAAUGGUCCUGUCCCACGGGGAGAGAGUUUGGACUUCCGUGCUUCUGGAAACCUCUCGGGCCGCAUGUGUAACCACACCAAGUCUCCGGGUUCGAACAGCACCUCCUUCCUCUUCUGGUCAUACUUGGCCUUGACCUUAGCCGUCUUGGCCUCUAUUCUCUCCUUAACCUUCAAGUGCAUGUUCUUAACAAACUCGGCCUUAUUGGCUCCAUCACGACUGCGGUACAUGGAGCUGGGCAGUUCGGUGAAGUCUAAAGGAGUCUCUGGCUGAAACCCAUAAACAAUCUCAAAAGGUGACAGGUUAGUAGUAGAGUGCCUAGCAUGGUUAUAAGCAAACUCAACAAAAGGCAAACAAGACAACCAAUUUCUUAAAUUCUUACCGACCGUAGCUCUCAACAGUUGAGAAAGCGUACGGUUUACUACCUCAGUCUGGCCGUCGGUCUGGGGAUGGCAAGUGGUCGAGAAUAGUAGCUUGGUUCCGAACUUGCCCCAUAGUGUCCUCCAGAAAUGGCUGAGGAACUUGGCAUCACGGUCAGACACAAUGGUUCGAGGAACACCAUGUAGUCGGACCACUUCUUUGAAGAAUAGGUCGGCGGUCUGAGUGGCAUCAUUAGUGGUGUUACAGGCUAUGAAAUGGGCCAUCUUGGAGAACCUGUCUACCACUACAAAAAUGGAAUCCUUGUGGUUUAUCUUGGGUAAACCCAGCACAAAGUCCAUAGAAAUGUCUACCCACGGGUGGUUAGGAAUUGGCAAUGGCAUUUGUAAACCGUAAGGAUGUGACCUGGACUUGGUUUUAAGGCAGGUAGUGCACUUGGCACAUAGGUUCUCCACGUCCUUCUUCAUGUUUGGCCAAAAGAAAUGUUCAGUUAGGACACUCAAGGUCUUGUCCCGACCAAAGUGUCCCAUGAGGCCGCCACCAUGGGCCUCAGUCUUCCACUCGUCACCCUCCUUCAUCCGCACUUGGUGAUAGCCACUCCUAAGAUCAAUCUUGGAAAACAUGGUGGAACCACUCAGUUCAUCUAACAUAUCAUCAAGUCUAGGAAUGGGGUACCGAUGUUUUAUGGUGAUGUUGUUGAUGGCUCGGCAGUCAACACACAUACGCCAUGUACCAUCCUUCUUAGGCACCAAGAGGACGGGAACUGCACAUGGACUGAGACUCUCUCGAAUGUAUCCCUUGUCCAUGAGGUCUUGAACCUGCCUCUCCAGCUCCUUAGCCUCCUCCGGAUUGACUCGGUACGCGGCUCGGUUUGGAAGUGGGGCGCCGGGCACAAAGUCUAUCUGAUGCUCAAUGCCUCGGAGGGGUGGUAAGCCGGCUGGUAUCUCCUCAGGGAAUACGUCCUUGUACCUGUCCAUUAGCACCUGCAUCUCAGCUGGGCAAUCUGGUGCCUCAAAACCUGCAAAACAACCUUCCUUAAAGAUCAUUAGUAGCACCUGUGUUUCUUGCCGUAAUGAUUUAAUCACUUUACUAGAAGAGAUGAAAAGGUUAGUUUUACUAAACAGCCCAGACUGGUCCAUGGCUCUCUGCAUUUCGUAGACCUCUUGGGGACUGAGAGGAGCCAGACUGUGCUUCUUGUUGUCGUGGGUGAAGCUGUAGGUGUUACUCCUCCCAUGGUGAAUGGUAUCCUUGUCAAACUGCCAAGGCCUCCCUAACAGCAGAUGUCCGGCUUGCAUAGGAACCACGUCGCACUUCACCUGGUCCUGGUACUUACCAAUACAAAAGGGCACAACAACUUGUUCCGAGAUUUUAAGCUCCGUCUCAUCAUUAAGCCACUUGAGCCGGUAUGGCCGGGGGUGUGGCGACUUUGCUAGUCCCAAUUUGUCAACAAGGUACCUGCUGGCCACAUUAGUGCAAGAGCCACCAUCAAUAAUUAAACUACAUACCUUGCCCUCCACGCUACACCUCGUAUGAAAGAUGUUCUCUCGUUGGAUGUUCACUGGAUCAAAGAGAGCACUGAGAGCUCGUCUGACCACCAGUAGCUCACCAGUCUCAGCAUAAUCCACUAUCUCGUCUCCUGAUUCAGCCGACCCUACAUCGACCUCGUCUUGGGACUCAUACUCGCCGUCCGCCUUAAGGAUCAUGACACGCUUGUUCGGACAGUCCCUGGCGUAGUGCCCCUUUCCCUGACAUUUGAAACAAGUAAUAUCACGGGUUCUUUGGGCUGGAGUUUGUCCCUUACCUGGUUCGGAUGGGCUGGGUUUGGACUGAUCGGAAUGGUUCUUCUUGAACCGGCUUUCCACUUCAACGGACUUGUUCUUCUCAGCUCCUUUGGAUCCGGCUGGAGCCCAAGGCGCCUUGUUCCUGGCACUAGAGGCGUUCUUCCUCCUAAUGUGUUGCUCGGCCUGGACGGCAUAGUGGAGGAGGUCGUUGAAAUUGACGUAAGUCUGCCUCUCCACCUUACGAGCAAUGCGGUCUUGGAGACCUUCCAAGAACUGUGCCAUCAUAACUUCUUCGGUUUCGCGCGUCCUGAGCUUGUUCUUGAGAGCCUCGAACUCUUCGAAGUAUUCUUCCACGGUCCUAGUACCCUGAGACAACUUGCGAAAACGUUUUAGUAAGUCCCGCUGAUAGUAAGAGGGAAUAUACCUUGCUCGGAGUUUAGCUCGCAUCUCAUUCCAAGUCUCGAUCCUAUAGACCCGGCCAACCUCGGCUACUUCCCUGUCCCACCAAGUCAGGGCAUUGUCCGUCAGUUGGGCUGCGGCUAGGGCGAUCUUCUUGGCCUCGGUAUAGCGGUAGUACUCAAAGAUGUACUCCAUGCGCUUCUCCCAUUCAAUGUAGGCGUCCGGGUCAACCUUUCCAGCAAAGGUUGGAGGAGUAAGUUUGAGAUCCUUGCCUCCUUGCCAAGCGACCUCAUCAUCUCGGAAUCUCCUACGGAUUGGGCUACCAUCACCUUGGACCCGAUACUCUCGCCGGUUCCCACGCCCAGCCCGUUCGUACCGCGGCUCGUCCGGUUCGGUAUGGUCAUUGUCCGAGUUAUCCUCACUGGAUUGGGAUUGUUGCUCUUCUGGAAUGGGUUGGUUUCUCCUCCUUGGCUGUGGAGCAUUAGCUCGGUUUCUCCCUGCCAUCUGAGCCAGCUGCUCAGUCACCGUAGCCAGUGCGGCUUGGAGUUCAGCAUGGUUAGCCAACAGCUGAGCAUUGAUCUCGGCUUGUGUUGGUGCUCCAUCUAGGUCGCCCAUAUCUCCUGCGACCAGAGAAAGAAAAGAAACAAAUGACUUGCUAGGAAUCAAGAUUAAAAUAAAAGAGUACUAGCCAAGGCAAGCAAUGAUUGUAAACAUUUUUUUUUUUUUUGAAAAAUGGAAAGUAGAAAUCGAAAAUUUAAAAUAUGGAAAGUACAAAAAAAAUUUUUUUUUUUUUUUUUUUAAAUUAUGAAAACUUGAAGUGCAAGCCAAGAAAAAAAAAUUAAAUGCAAUUAAAUGAGAAUUGUUCAAAAAAAAGGAAAGUAAAAAUCGAUGGAUGCCAAAAACAGAUUUCUAGAAUGAUGGAUGCACAAAACGGAUCAAAAGAGAUGCAACAAGAACUCGCCAAGAACAGCAAGAACAAAAUACAAAAGGUUAACGGUCGAUUGAACUUUGUUGUCUUUUUCUUUUGAAAAUUAGCAUAUGUAAGACUUGUGUAAAAAAUUCUAAAGGAGUUUCUUUUCUUUGAUUGCUUCCGGAAUGUUUGGAUUUUCCGUGUCUUUAGUUGUAUGACUUGAUUGAAUGAACGCAUGACUUUUAUACGUCUCGAGUCGUCAUACUUGUGAUUAUGUUGGGUCGUCGUUUCUUCUUGACCGUUGGUGAUUCUUUGUCGCAUGUUAAAUGUUCAGAGUUCAAGGAGUAAAAAAUUUUCUUUCUUUUCGAUCGUUGGUUCGUGCGAGUCUAUUCUCGGCUUUUCUUCUUUCUAGGCGAAGGGCGAGACUUGGCCCGACUUACCCCCUAUAAGGUAGGACCGAGAUAAGUGCGUGAGCAAGGUCGACGCGGCUUAUCUGAUCGCCGACCCGUGAGAGUCUGGCCUCGGCUUUCUUGUCGAGUCGGGGUUUUUAGGCCCCUCGCCAAGAGCGUUUCUUCUUUAGACAGACGGCGGGACUUGGCCCGGCUUACCCCCUAUAAGUUAGGACCGAGAUAAGUGCGUGAGCAAGCUCGACGCGGCUUAUCCGAUCGCCGACCUGUGCGAGUCUGGCCUCGGCUUCGCUGUCUGGUUGGGGUUUUUAGGCCCCUCGCCGAGAGCGUUUCUUCUUUAGACGGAGGGCGGGACUUGGCCCAGCUUACCCCCUAUAAGGUAGGACAGAGAUAAGUGCGUGAGCAAGCUCGACGCGGCUUAUCCAAUCGCCGACCUGUGCGAGUCUGGCCUCGGCUUCGCUGUCGGGUCGGGGGUUUUAGGCCCCUCGCCGAGAGCGUUUCUUCUUUAGACGGAGGGCGGGACUUGGCCCGGCUUACCCCCUAUAAGGUAGGACCGAGAUAACUGUUGGGGAAAAGUAUUCCAUGAAGAGAUUACCCCAGCUUCCGUCUUCCAGGUCCCUGCCCCCAGGGUCCGGGUUCCUGCCUCUGGGUCCUAGGUCCCUGCCCCCAGGUCUGGGUCCUGCCUCCGGUCACGGGUCCCUGUCCCCGAGUCUGGGACCUUCCUCCGUCUUCCAGGCCAAGUGAUUUCUCCUGCCUUAAGAUAAAUGGAAAUAAGGUAACCAGCUUAGAGAAGAAGGAAUCUUCUUAAAUCCAUGAGAAAGAGGAAGUAUUCCAAUAUGAUAAGCCGCCCUUGUGAGAAUGGAAAUAUUCUAUUAUCUAAGGAUAUAUGGAAAAUUUCCAAACCCUAAGAGAAAGGCACGACCUCCACUAUAAAUAUAGGUUUAUAAACCUAAAGAAAAGGAGGAGAGACGUCCUUGACCAGAGCUCACAAUUCCACAGCCGCCAAGGCAAGGUUCCAUACCUAGAAGACCUUCUUCUUCGACACACCGAUGACAGGCUGAUCCCGGCGAUUACUAUCAACAAGAUGAAUAUAUGCUCUCUGCAGCACGUCUACAACUCUAUUUAUCGGCUCAGGCCACGAUCUCCCACUCAUCAGCAGGGUCCCUGCAUGCUCACUGAAGCACAUCGACGCUCCAUGCUCACUGCAGCAUAUUGACAGGUUUACCAUAUGUUUCGACCAUGUGCCCUCUAGAACAGAUGACUCCUACCAACUACAGAGCUACGUGCUCCCAAGGCUACGAGCACAUUAGGCCAUGUGCCCACUAGAGGCCCGUGCUCCUAAGGCUACUGAUACAGGCUGGGAUUCUGGUUGUCUCAAGGGUCGACCAGAGGUUCAGGAACUCGGACUGGACAGGUCGGGCCAAGAGUUAUGGAGCGGCUGGACGGACGCGAUGGAGGGGACGUCGGCCGAUCUGGUUCCUGAAACAAACAAGUGUUAUUUUUAUGAGUUUUCUAUGAUUUAAAAUUUGAUGAACUGAAAAUAAACUGAAGGAUAAAAUAAGAACAGAAACAAAUAUGACUUUUUAUGAGUUUUAUAUUGUAAUGGAAAUCUAGAGCUAUAUGAUGCAAACUGAAUCAAAAUAAGAAAGGAUAGAAAUUAUGGGGGAUGGAUCCUUGUUGCUGGAUGUGUAUCUCUCUCAACAAGGACAGUGGAUGGAGGUGGAUAGCUAUGGGAUUUGUCUUGCUGGAUGUAUAUCUCUCUCAAGGCAAAUCGUUGGAUGGGAUGGAGUGUAGAAUCGCCACAAGCUUGGUGGUUUGGAGCUUGAUAAGACUCGGCUGCUCUCUCUGUUUCUCACAGGGAAAAGACUUAGGGGUUUCUGAGUUUGCAAAGGCAAAAAUUAUUUCAUAAAGACAUGAGGCCAAAAAUCGCCUAACACAUAGAGUUAUAUAGGGGAUUUCCCUUUUGGGUCUCAAACUAAAAAGGCCUAGGAAACAUGCUGGCCGAAAAUAUGGCUGAAACAAAAGCCCAAAGUCUUAACCAAAUAAAUAAAUAAAUAAAUAAAAAUAAACCAGACAACUGGUUGUCGGUUUGAGAAGACCUAAACCAGAAUUCAUAGUAUGCUUGCAUGUUGCCUCGUUAAAACCUUUCGGGAAAACCCAGUGGGACAAAACCCGAUAAGGAAAAAGAGUACAACAGCAUACCAAUCCUUCUGAUGUCGGCUAGUUCUCAGAACCAUGAAGAGUUGGAAUGGGUGGAAUGGAAAUGGAAUUGGGGCCAAGCUCGGAUAUGGAAAUGAGACGUCCGGCUUGGUUGAGUCUGAACUGGAUCGGGCCGGUCGCGUCCUGAACCUCUGUUGGACCGGCUUGAUCUUGAAUCUUCAACUGGACCAUCUCCUCAAUCAGCAGCUGGUCCUGGUCAGUCUGUCCAUCUCGAUCAAGGAUUUGUUGGACAGCCUUGGUGAAACCCUCUCGCAAGGCCCUGGUUCCACUCCGGGUUGUCGGACCGCGUCUAACUACGGGAACCUCUACUUGGAUGGCCUCAUCAUUCCCUCCCCCUUGAAGAGGUUCUGGCCUCAGAACACCAUCAUCUGCAAAAUCAUCAAAGCUAUCUGCAUGGAAAGGAGACAAAUCCGAGACAUUGAAAGUAUGUGAAAAUUUAAAUUCAGCCGGGAGGUCAAGGAUAUAGGCAUUGUCGUUGAUCUUCUUUAGGAUGCGGAAUGGUCCUGUCCCACGGGGAGAGAGUUUGGACUUCCGUGCUUCUGGAAACCUCUCGGGCCGCAUGUGUAACCACACCAAGUCUCCGGGUUCGAACAGCACCUCCUUCCUCUUCUGGUCAUACUUGGCCUUGACCUUAGCCGUCUUGGCCUCUAUUCUCUCCUUAACCUUCAAGUGCAUGUUCUUAACAAACUCGGCCUUAUUGGCUCCAUCACGACUGCGGUACAUGGAGCUGGGCAGUUCGGUGAAGUCUAAAGGAGUCUCUGGCUGAAACCCAUAAACAAUCUCAAAAGGUGACAGGUUAGUAGUAGAGUGCCUAGCAUGGUUAUAAGCAAACUCAACAAAAGGCAAACAAGACAACCAAUUUCUUAAAUUCUUACCGACCGUAGCUCUCAACAGUUGAGAAAG